UUACUUCCGCUUAGCAACCAGAACUCGUGUUUACAACUUGCCUAGCAACGGUAAAUAUGGCAGACGAACACAAGACGUUUCAACGUCCUACGCGGAUUUUUAUAAACAGAAUAGACACCUACUCGUCGAAAUGUAUCGCUCAGUAUCUGUCUACCUGCUCUGCUGGAGAAUCCUUUGAAGAAGAGUCUACACCUGAAGAGAGGUUUCAAAUUGUAGGGACUGUAAGCAAUAAAGAUGAAAAAAAGAGAAGCUUUGCUCUGGAAGAAUACUCUGCCUCAAAUCGAGACGAGCUCCUUCAACACCUGAUGGAUUGUGAUGUUAUUGUGUAUAAUAUCUCCGAAGAUGUUGAAGCGAUUGAUGAAGCAACAUGGGCUGUUUCAGCCCUCCAAAGUAAUAUUGAACACUUUACAUUUCCCAAGAUGUAUAUUUUGGUGUCAACGGUGAUGACGUGGGCAAAAACUAAACCAGCUGAUCCUGAUAGUCCUGAAAUUCCAGUGAAAGAAGAAGACUACACACGGAAGAAGCCACAUCCAAACUUCAAAGAACAUGCUAAUGCAGAGAAGCUUGUAUUGAAUUUGGGGAAAAUGGAAAAGACCAAGCUCCGCACUUACGUUGUUGGUGCAGGGAUGCAGUAUGGCAUGGGAGAAGGCAUCUUCCACCACUUCUUUAAGACAUGCUGGCUUGGGGAGUUGAGCACCAUCCCUAUACCAGAUCCAAGCACUAAUGUCAUCCCUACCAUCCACGUCAACGAUCUGGCUGGCAUACUGCAAAACAUCAUCGAUCACAAACCCAAAAUGCACUACUUAAUUGCUGUGGAUGACGCCCACAAUUCUUUGGAAGAAAUUGUAGCGGCUAUAUCAUAUGUUCUGGGUCCUGGAGAGGUUCAGAAAGUGCAUUAUGACAGUGUGCACCUCACAAAGGAACUUACGCAAACCGAUCUAGCUUGCCUAAGUAUAGACCUCCUCAUCGAGACAGUUUUGCCGAAAAGUCGGCUGAACCUGCACUGGGUGUGUGAAACUGGACUUAUUGAGAACAUCAACCUUGUUGUAGAGGAGUACAGACAGAUCAGACGGCUUCUACCAAUCAAGAUCUGUCUCCUUGGCCCGCCGGCUGUCGGGAAGAGUUCAGUCGCAGCACAACUGUGUAAACAUUACAAACUCCAUUAUAUUGGCGUUAAGGAAGCAGUUGAGGAGAAAAUAAAACAUUUGGAGAAAAUGCUACAACAGUGUGAGGAGAAUAAUGACACUGAGGGAUCGUUACAGGCUCAGGAACAGCUCAGCACUCUGAAGGAUGAUCUUUCCCAGAAUCAAGGUCAACUUGCAGACCAUAAUGUUUUGGACAUCAUCAGAGAGAAGCUUUACUCAAAGCCGUGCAGGAAUCAGGGCUUUGUUUUGGACGGCUACCCCUGUACACACGAGCAAGCUAACAAACUUUUCAAUGACGAGGAGAAGGAACCAGGGAACUCCAAAUCUCUUUUACUGCCCCAUGAUGAAAAGAUAAUACCAGAAUAUGUCAUUUCACUCGAUGCCACUGAUGAGUUUCUGAAAGAGCGAGUCCGGAACCUUCCUCAGUCUGUAGCAGAGGAGAUGCACUACACCCAGGACGAGUUUCUGCGGCGACUGUCCAUCUUCAGGGAUGCAAACACGGAGGAAGUAUCGGUGAUUGACUAUUUCGAUGAGCUGGAGAUAGAUCAUGAACACAUCGAGAUCAACAGUGUGGAUGACCCUGAAAACGAAGCUGUGAUUAAGAAAAUAAUCGAAGUGGUGGGAGAGCCGAGAAACUACGGUCCCACCCCUGAGGAACAAAAGGAACAGGAGAGGAUACGUGAACUGGAGAAGCAGCAACGCUUAAUGCAGGAAGAAGCCGAGCGUGCACUCAGAGAGGCUGAGGAGGAGACCAGGAUGACCGCUCUGCUGGAGGAAUGGGCUGAAGCUAUUGUGUCCCAUUUAGAACAGGAACAUGCUAGAGGUGAAAAAGCAGGAGCAUGAGUUACUGGAGGUACGCUCACUUCCACUGAGACACUACCUGAUGAAGUAUAUCAUGCCAGCUCUCAGAGAAGGACUUGGGGCCUGCUGCCAAGUGAAACCUGACGAUCCCAUCGACUUUCUGGCUGAAUAUCUUUUAAGAAACAACACAGACGACUAGCUUGCCCUUCACUG
Molecule: RNA transcript, 2159 nt
Organism: Tachysurus fulvidraco (yellow catfish)
Lineage: Eukaryota; Metazoa; Chordata; Actinopteri; Siluriformes; Bagridae
Gene: ak7a
Gene name: adenylate kinase 7a
Exons: 18
Source: RefSeq, a predicted model, not a curated record